This 1660-nucleotide long non-coding RNA is filed under the name Homo sapiens (human). RNAcentral describes it as "HSALNT0144304". The record is from RNAcentral. Lineage: Eukaryota; Metazoa; Chordata; Mammalia; Primates; Hominidae.
AGAUAAUGCACAUCUAUAUAGUCCUCAAUUAGAGUCACUGAUAAUGCCAGUUGAAAGGACACUAAUGAUGAGACUGAGUUAGGAUGCCAGAGGAGAGUUUAUGAGACAUCAAGGGAAUUGAAGCAGCACUGGCAGGGAGUGUCUCAGACUAUGAUAAGGAUCUGACAAGGUCUCAGCCGACCUAACACAGAGCUCCAGAGCAAAGAUUUCCCACUGCACAGCUGGUAUCACGCACUGAUCAGUCACUGGCUGGGCACUGCUGGGGAAGAGUGUUGCCUCAGCUCAAAAGCAGAAUCGGAUCCUGAAGGACCUAAUGACUAGAAACUUCCAGCUGACUACACUCUGCAACUGACUGAUUUGAACGUCUAUAGAAUAUUACAUCUCUUUGACCUGAAGGACUUGCUUUAGCAUUUCUUGUACUACAAGUCUGAUGGAGCAUGAAGAGAAUCAAGACUGAAGACCAAAAUUGCUUUUCUCUCCUCUCGAUAACACUGUCAGCGUGGAGCAGGCCGACUGUGGAGGAACUUCAAUCGGGGCUAAAUUUACAUUCAUUCAGGUGUCACCGGACUCUGCUUUCUUGCCUCUCUUUUCUGAUCAAUGCACUCAUUAAAGGGCUCAAGCUUGGCAAUAGAUUCACCUUAAUGCUCGUCACCCUGGGGUUUCAAUAACACAGGCUCUGAGACUCUAACAAGCUGCUGAAGAAUGAAAAGAAAAAAAGCAAAAAAGCUUUAUCUUUCCCUUCUUGUAUAGAGUCCUGAAAUUGUUUCUCUUUGUCUUUUACAAACAGUUCUAUUGACUGUAGUAAUUUUAUGGAGGAGCUUUGAGGGGCAUAUAUGGGAAGAGAGAAAUUUGGAAAAUAUGUGGAGCAGGUGUACAGAACGAAUAUACAUCUAUUUAUUCCAAAAGAGUGAGAAAUUUGGAUCACAUUUAUUUCUGUUUUUCCUAACUUGGAAGAUUUGUUUGGAAACUUAAAAUAAAAGAGAAUCAAAGAAAAAGAUUAAGAAGCCCUUGGAUCAGAAGAGACUACAUACAUAUGACAACUAAAUGCAAUAUGCAAUUCUGCAUUGAAUUGGAUCCCGUUGAGGAAGAGGACAUCAGUGAAAUAAUAGUGUCUUGCACCUACUGAAUCACAAGUGAUGCAAUUUGCUCAUCUAUAAAUAAUAAUAUCCACUUCAAAGGAAUACUGUGAAUGUGAUUAGGCAACACAGAUGGCACAUUGCAUAAAGAAACGCGAACCCAGCAGCACUCCUGCCAGCGGCAAUUCUGAGUGCUCAUUUCCACUUUGCCAAGACAUUACAUGGGAAGGCAUGUGCGUUUAAGGGCAUCCAAUUGUUUCUGUAUCAGAACAGCAGCAACAUCCCGGGCAGGCCUUUCCUCUGGAGUUCACGUGUAGGUCGUACUGACACACAACAUGGCCUAAAUGGACCAUGGAGGAGGAAGGGACCCCAAAUCCAGGCCAAAUGGGAGCAGGGUUGUCCUCAGGAGGACCCCAGCUAGAAGACUUUCUCUGGAACCCACGGUGCCUCUCACUAAAGUGCCCCAACGUUGGCACAACACCUACCGAAUUGUUGUUGCUGACUCUCUAUGCCCAUGAUUCAACCAGAACAACAUUGAUUCGUUAAAAGGUGCAUGAAUAAACUUGACUCUGGAAACAACAACA